UUCUAUGGCCAUACCACCCAGAAUGUGCCCGAUCUUGUCUGAUCUCGGAAGCAAAGCAGGGUCGGGCCUGGUUAGUACUUGGAUGGGAGAAAUUCUGAGUCCCUCAAGAGUCCGUUAAAG
Aotus nancymaae (Ma's night monkey) is the source of this 120-nucleotide ribosomal RNA. The record is from Ensembl. Lineage: Eukaryota; Metazoa; Chordata; Mammalia; Primates; Aotidae.